This 29-nucleotide non-coding RNA is filed under the name Mus musculus (house mouse). Lineage: Eukaryota; Metazoa; Chordata; Mammalia; Rodentia; Muridae. The record is from RNAcentral.
UGGGCUACAGCAUGGCAAUUUUGAAUGGU